GACCAGAGUCGGCCGUGGGGGUUCAGCGGGCAUUCGUUGCCCGUGCAAUCCCCCGCGGCCGGGCCAGCGUCGGUUUCGACGGCCGGUCAAAGGCCCCCGGAAUGUGUCGCCUCUCGGGGCGUCUUAUAGCCGGGGGUGCAAUGCGGCCAGUCGGGACCGAGGAACGCGCUCCGGCACGGACGCUGGCUUAAUGGUCGUCAGCGACCCGUCUUGA
RNAcentral lists this ribosomal RNA (214 nucleotides) under Histoplasma capsulatum. Its description in RNAcentral is "partial 28S rRNA". Lineage: Eukaryota; Fungi; Ascomycota; Eurotiomycetes; Onygenales; Ajellomycetaceae. The record is from RNAcentral.